GUCCGGGUGGCGGAAUAGGCAGACGCGCUAGCUUGAGGUGCUAGUGCCCUUUAUCGGGCGUGGGGGUUCAAGUCCCCCUCCGGACA
This is a non-coding RNA of Georgenia sp., 86 nucleotides long. The record is from Rfam. NCBI's taxonomy places the organism in Bacteria, Bacillati, Actinomycetota, Actinomycetes, Allobogoriellales, Allobogoriellaceae.